This 822-nucleotide small RNA is filed under the name Pongo abelii (Sumatran orangutan). RNAcentral describes it as "processed transcript". Lineage: Eukaryota; Metazoa; Chordata; Mammalia; Primates; Hominidae. The record is from RNAcentral.
AUUCUUCUGAAGUGACCACUUUUCUUCUCUUUGAGGCACUACCUGGCAGCACCAUCUAAACCUGUAUCUGCUGUGGUCCCAGUUACUCAGGAGGCUGAGGCAGGAGGAUCACUUGAGCCCAGGAGGUUGAGGCUGGAGUGAGCCAUGACUGUACCACUGCACUCCAGCCUGGGUGACGGAGUGAGGCCGUAUCUGGCUGCCAGUGAGUUCUGUCAUGCAUCAGACUUUGGACCUCAGAAUUUUCACCUGGAACAUGAAAGGUGUGUGGUGUGCGCUAUAGACUGGCUCCGGUGAUCUGGCCAUUAUACUCUGCUGUCUCCAUCUUGAGGAUGUAGGGGAUUAUGCUGUCUAUCGAAACAUUGCCAAUGAGACCAGUAAAAAAAAGUUCUUCUGUUAUGUUGGAGCUCAUCAGCCUGAGUGCCGGCAGGCGAACAAGGAUCCGGGCCAAUCUAUAAAAGGAGUGUCAUUAGAAAAGGAGACUGUUUGAUGCCCUUCAACCACAGGUCAGCAAAGGCUCCUGGGGUCCUGUCUGUAUUGCACAGAAUCAAACCAAAUGGAUCCGGCAUCCACCCACCUCUCUUUUCUGAUUUCAACAGUUCCUCUUAUAGAAAUUUAUCAUGAGAAAAAACCAAAUGAGUACAAAAUGUAUGUACAGGUAUGUUCCCCUCACUCGUUUAUUCCAACUCUCCUCACCCCCACCAAGAGAAAACCUGGAAAUUCAUCAACAGAGGACAGGUUAAAAUAAAACAGGAGUCUUCAUAUGAUGAACUGCUAGAGACUCAUUUAAAAAACGAUAAUACAAAUCUGUAUUUACUGAUCAGG